CCAGAGGGCCGGGCGACCGCGUGGGAACUUCCCACGAGGAAAGUCCGGGCUCCACGGAAACGGCGGUGCCGGGUAACGCCCGGCGGGGGUGACCCCAGGGAAAGUGCCACAGAGAGCAGACGGCCCGGUUUCGACCGGGUCACGGUGAAAGGGUGCGGUAAGAGCGCACCGCGGGACCGGUAACGGUCGCGGCAUGGCAAACCCCACCGGGAGCAAGACCGAAUAGGGACGGCAUAAGGGCUGCGUUCCGGCCCGUCGUCCGGGUUGGUUGCUUGAGGCGGCGUGCGAGCGUCGCCCUAGAGGAAUGGUCGCCCAGUCCCGCAAGGGAUGGACAGAACCCGGCUUACAGGCCCUCUGGCAUU
This 362-nucleotide RNase P RNA is filed under the name Stakelama pacifica. RNAcentral describes it as "Sphingosinicella sp. JLT832 Bacterial RNase P class A". It matches the Rfam family "Bacterial RNase P class A". Rfam says of the family: Ribonuclease P (RNase P) is a ubiquitous endoribonuclease, found in archaea, bacteria and eukarya as well as chloroplasts and mitochondria. Its best characterised activity is the generation of mature 5'-ends of tRNAs by cleaving the 5'-leader elements of precursor-tRNAs. Cellular RNase Ps are ribonucleoproteins. Lineage: Bacteria; Pseudomonadati; Pseudomonadota; Alphaproteobacteria; Sphingomonadales; Sphingomonadaceae. The record is from Rfam by way of RNAcentral.